RNAcentral lists this ribosomal RNA (359 nucleotides) under uncultured bacterium. Its description in RNAcentral is "bacterial SSU rRNA". It matches the Rfam family "Bacterial small subunit ribosomal RNA", at positions 29 to 389 of the family's 1533-position model. The record is from RNAcentral.
AUUGAACGCUGGCGGCAUGCCUUACACAUGCAAGUCGAACGGCAGCACGGGGGCAACCCUGGUGGCGAGUGGCGAACGGGUGAGUAAUGCAUCGGAACGUGCCCCGUAGCGGGGGAUAACCAGUCGAAAGACUGGCUAAUACCGCAUACGCUCCACGGAGGAAAGCAGGGGAUCGCAAGACCUUGCACUAUGGGAGCGGCCGAUGCCCGAUUAGCUAGUUGGUGAGGUAAAGGCUCACCAAGGCGACGAUCGGUAGCUGGUUUGAGAGAACGACCAGCCACACUGGGACUGAGACACGGCCCAGACUCCUACGGGAGGCAGCAGUGGGGAAUUUUGGACAAUGGGCGCAAGCCUGAUCC